This 568-nucleotide ribosomal RNA is filed under the name uncultured bacterium. Its description in RNAcentral is "bacterial SSU rRNA". It matches the Rfam family "Bacterial small subunit ribosomal RNA", at positions 275 to 835 of the family's 1533-position model. The record is from RNAcentral.
GACGAUCCGUAGCGGGUCUGAGAGGAUGAUCCGCCACACUGGGACUGAGACACGGCCCAGAUUCCUACGGGAGGCAGCAGUGGGGAAUUUUGGACAAUGGGCGCAAGCCUGAUCCAGCCAUGCCGCGUGAGUGAAGAAGGCCUUCGGGUUGUAAAGCUCUUUCGGCCGGGAAGAAAUCGUGGUCUCUAACAUAGGCCAUGGAUGACGGUACCGGACUAAGAAGCACCGGCUAACUACGUGCCAGCAGCCGCGGUAAUACGUAGGGUGCGAGCGUUAAUCGGAAUUACUGGGCGUAAAACGUGCGCAGGCGGUUUGCUAAGACAGGUGUGAAAUCCCCGGGCUUAACCUGGGAACUGCGCUUGUGACUGGCAGGCUAGAGUACGGCAGAGGGGGGUGGAAUUCCUGGUGUAGCAGUGAAAUGCGUAGAGAUCAGGAGGAACACCGAUGGCGAAGGCAGCCCCCUGGGCCUGUACUGACGCUCAUGCACGAAAGCGUGGGGAGCAAACAGGAUUAGAUACCCUGGUAGUCCACGCCCUAAACGAUGUCGACUAGUCGUUCGGAGCAGCAA